Phyllostomus discolor (pale spear-nosed bat) is the source of this 186-nucleotide long non-coding RNA. RefSeq lists it as uncharacterized. Lineage: Eukaryota; Metazoa; Chordata; Mammalia; Chiroptera; Phyllostomidae. The record is from RefSeq and is a predicted model, not a curated record. The transcript is spliced from 3 exons.
AGAUGGCAGAGGACUAAGUGGAAGCUACACUAAUGUCCUCCCAGGACCAAUCUGGAAUUACAACUAAAUUGUAGAGAAAUCAUCCAGAAUAACCAACUGAACACUAGCUGGAGACAAACCUUAUAACCACGGACAGACAGAAGGAACCACUUCACCACAAUGUGACUGUAGAUGAUAGAAUUUUCU